This 468-nucleotide ribosomal RNA is filed under the name uncultured bacterium. RNAcentral describes it as "partial 16S ribosomal RNA". It matches the Rfam family "Bacterial small subunit ribosomal RNA", at positions 28 to 507 of the family's 1533-position model. The record is from RNAcentral.
GACGAACGCUGGCGGCGUGCUUAACACAUGCAAGUCGAACGGAAAGGCCCUGCUUUUGUGGGGUGCUCGAGUGGCGAACGGGUGAGUAACACGUGAGUAACCUGCCCUUGACUUUGGGAUAACUCCAGGAAAAUGGGGCUAAUACAGGACAGGAGCUCCUGAUGCAUGGGGGGGGUUGGAAAGUUUCGGCGGUUGGGGAUGGAAUCGCGGCUUAUCAGCUUGUUGGUGGGGUGGUGGCUUACCAAGGCUUUGACGGGUAGCCGGCCUGGGAGGGUGACCGGCCACAUUGGGCCUGAGGUAGGGGCCGGACUCCUACGGGAGGCAGCAGUGGGGAAUAUUGCACGAUGGGCGGAAGCCUGAUGCAGCAACGUCGCGUGCGGGAUGUCUGCCUUCGGGUUGUAACCCGCUUUCGCCUGUGACGAAGCGUGAGUGACGGUAAUGGGUAAAGAAGCACCGGCUAACUACGUG